AGGACGAACGCUGGCGGCGCGCUUAACACAUGCAAGUCGAGCGAGAACCGGGACUUCGGUCCCGGGGACAGCGGCGAACGGGUGAGUAACACGUGGGUAAUCAACCCUCGGCACCGGGAUAGCCCGAGGAAACUCGGAUUAAUACCGGAUAGCCCCUCCGACUCUCGAGUCGGUCGGGAAAGGUAGCUUAGGCCUCUGGCCGGGGACGAGCCCGCGGCGGAUUAGCUUGUUGGUGGGGUAAUGGCCUACCAAGGCAACGAUCCGUAGCUGGUCUGAGAGGACGAUCAGCCACACUGGGACUGAGACACGGCCCAGACUCUUACGGGAGGCAGCAGUGGGGAAUCUUGCGCAAUGGGCGAAAGCCUGACGCAGCGACGCCGCGUGAGGGAAGAAGGCCUUCGGGUUGUAAACCUCUUUCAGGAGGGACGAAGCUACUCGGGUGAAUAGCCCAGAGGGUGACGGUACCUCCAGAAGAAGCCCGGCUAACUACGUGCCAGCAGCCGC
RNAcentral lists this ribosomal RNA (504 nucleotides) under uncultured bacterium. Its description in RNAcentral is "SSU rRNA". It matches the Rfam family "Bacterial small subunit ribosomal RNA", at positions 26 to 518 of the family's 1533-position model. The record is from RNAcentral.